Molecule: unclassified non-coding RNA, 336 nt
Filed under: soil metagenome
Description: partial contains 5.8S ribosomal RNA, internal transcribed spacer 2, and large subunit ribosomal RNA
Rfam family: 5.8S ribosomal RNA (bases 1-120)
Source: RNAcentral
GAUGAAGAACGUAGCGAAAUGCGAUAAGUAAUGUGAAUUGCAGAAUUCAGUGAAUCAUCGAAUCUUUGAACGCACAUUGCGCCCGCCAGUAUUCUGGCGGGCAUGCCUGUUCGAGCGUCAUUUCAACCAUCAAGCCCCAGGCUUGUGUUGGGGACCUGCGGCUGCCGCAGGCCCUGAAAACCAGUGGCGGGCUCGCUGUCACACCGGGCGUAGUAGAUUUUAUCUCGCUCAGGGCGUGCUGCGGUUCCCGGCCGUUAAAAGCCUUUUUUUACCCAAGGUUGACCUCGGAUCAGGUAGGAAGACCCGCUGAACUUAAGCAUAUCAAUAAGCGGAGGA